RNAcentral lists this ribosomal RNA (497 nucleotides) under uncultured bacterium. Its description in RNAcentral is "partial 16S ribosomal RNA". It matches the Rfam family "Bacterial small subunit ribosomal RNA", at positions 28 to 507 of the family's 1533-position model. The record is from RNAcentral.
GAUGAACGCUGGCGGCGUGCCUAAUACAUGCAAGUCGAGCGAACGGACGAGAAGCUUGCUUCUCUGAUGUUAGCGGCGGACGGGUGAGUAACACGUGGAUAACCUACCUAUAAGACUGGGAUAACUUCGGGAAACCGGAGCUAAUACCGGAUGAUAUUUUGAACCGCAUGGUUCAAAAGUGAAAGACGGUCUUGCUGUCACUUAUAGAUGGAUCCGCGCUGCAUUAGCUAGUUGGUAAGGUAACGGCUUACCAAGGCAACGAUGCAUAGCCGACCUGAGAGGGUGAUCAGCCACACUGGAACUGAGACACGGUCCAGACUCCUACGGGAGGCAGCAGUGGGGAAUAUUGCGCAAUGGGCGAAAGCCUGACGGAGCAACGCCGCGUGAGUGAUGAAGGUCUUCGGGUCGUAAAACUCUGUUAUUAGGGAAGAACAUAAGUGUGUGUAACUGUGCACGUCUUGACGGUACCUAAUCAGAAAGCCACGGCUAACUACGUG